RNAcentral lists this ribosomal RNA (301 nucleotides) under uncultured bacterium. RNAcentral's name for it is "partial 16S ribosomal RNA". It matches the Rfam family "Bacterial small subunit ribosomal RNA", at positions 509 to 809 of the family's 1533-position model. The record is from RNAcentral.
CAGUAGCCGCGGUAAAACGUAGGGUGCGAGCGUUAAUCGGAAUUACUGGGCGUAAAGCGUGCGCAGGCGGUUAUAUAAGACAGAUGUGAAAUCCCCGGGCUCAACCUGGGACCUGCAUUUGUGACUGUAUAGCUAGAGUACGGUAGAGGGGGAUGGAAUUCCGCGUGUAGCAGUGAAAUGCGUAGAUAUGCGGAGGAACACCGAUGGCGAAGGCAAUCCCCUGGACCUGUACUGACGCUCAUGCACGAAAGCGUGGGGAGCAAACAGGAUUAGAUACCCCCGUAGUCCCUGUCUCUUAUAA